CUGAUACGACCCCGUCCCAAAUCACCCUAAUGGACCCGAAAUGUGACGUGCGCCGAUGAUAGAUGCUGAUUAGAUGUCAAAUCUAUCACCGAGGCUAACUAUGAGUUAUUUCAAAAAAUACAACAAAAUCAAAUGCUUAUGUAAAACAUAAUGCAAUGGGCCCAAAAUAUUUACUUCGUGCUUGAUCAAUAUGAGUUAUAAUAUUCAACAUGUCGUGUGGUUCUCAUUCUGAAAUCAUUAGGCUCUUCCAGCUAGAAACAAUCAAUUUCCAUCUGUAGAAAAAUUACGGAAAAAUAUAUGAGUUGAUAGCUCAGUGAGUAGAGAAGCUCGAAAAUAAUUAUACUUUUUUCAUUUUUACAUUUUUAUCGAAAAUCGAGUUCAUAUCAUUGAUAACUCCCAAGAUAACAUCAUGUAAUUAUAGUCAAAACGUGAGACAUUCAUAUAGCGUGGUAAAAUAUCAUCUCAAGUCAUGAUAUAAACA
Molecule: long non-coding RNA, 481 nt
Filed under: Olea europaea subsp. europaea
Lineage: Eukaryota; Viridiplantae; Streptophyta; Magnoliopsida; Lamiales; Oleaceae
Source: RNAcentral